Lolium rigidum is the source of this 2401-nucleotide long non-coding RNA. RefSeq lists it as uncharacterized. The record is from RefSeq and is a predicted model, not a curated record. The transcript has 13 exons. NCBI's taxonomy places the organism in Eukaryota, Viridiplantae, Streptophyta, Magnoliopsida, Poales, Poaceae.
GUACCUCUCGAUUCCCCUUUCUUCCUCCGCCGGCUAGCCGUCGACUCCGGUGGAACGGCUCCUACUGGGCCUCGCCGGACGACGCUGCUCGGGCCGCGGCGUCAAGUUCCGCUCCGUGGCAUCCCCGGGCACCGGCCGCCUCCAAUCCAUGGAGGGCUUCCGCCACCGACAUCUCCUCAGUCAGUCCCUUUUCCUCCUCCUCAUCGUACGCGUCGUCUCCAAUUACCGCUCUGCUCACAUGCGGGUAAUUCCCUUGUGCUCUGAUUCGGAGCACCGAGCAGGAGGAGGACGACGGGGAGGUUUGGGAAACCAACCUGCUCACAAGGAGCCCCUGACGUCGCCUUCCGGGAGCGUGGAGUUGGGAGUGGACGACGAACAAGGGGAGAUGGAGGUAGUCUGUCCACCACGAGUAGACCGCCCACUACGAUCUCGCGCUCCAUGGAAAUGUCGACGCCUCACAAAAGAUCAAGGACAGCCGCAUCCCGCACCUCCUCCCUAGCAGCUUGGCCUAGGUCUUGCUGACGUCACUCUGAGUCAGUGACGCCAUGCUUGGAGUGGAUGGAGCUGGUUAUGGACAUGGACGAAGAUGCUUAAGGGGAGGAGGGGUGCGACCUGGACAUGCUUGUCCAGUCAAUUCUCGACUUCGAGGGAGACACCACCACGAAAGCACCCAUCAUGAAGGAGUACAACAAGGGCGAAUCCAACCACCGUUGAAGGGAUCACUGUUCUGCUACAAGGGUCCGGGUCGCUGCUCGCAGUGGUAUCGUGUUUGCGCGGAUCUCAAGGCUGGUCGGAGUCGUUGAACACCACCGUAACCUUGACACUACCGUUUAAGGCCUCGUCGACAUCGUCUUCCAAAGAUUCCCACACAAUUAGGGCAACUUGCUAGAUAUUUGAACAAGAUGCCAGAUGAUGAAGAAAAUCCUAUAGGUUGAAUCCUCACAAGGGAAGAAGGUGGAUCGUGAUCAUCGAUCGGAGCCAACUAUUAGGCAGCACAACUGAUCGCUGCUUCUCGUGCGAGCCUUUUGAGUUUAUCGUUGUAUGUAUCAAUGCGAGUGUUUGCUGGAUAAUCUCCCCGAAGUACCACCAGAAUCUGCAGAUCCACCGGUUCUUACUUGAACAGGAAGCUGCAUAUCGAGGCCCCAAGGAGGCCAUCACCCAGGACAUGACAGAGGCAAAUGGAAAGAACAUGAAAUACACUGAGACCGUCGAGCUCCAGAUCAGGCUCAAGAACUACAACCCGCAAAAGGGCUCUCUGAGCUGCCCAUGUCUCGUGCCCCAAGAUGAGCGUCUGCAUGCUUGGUGACACCCACCAUUGGAUUGCAGGCUUAGAAGACCGGUCUUAAUUCCAUGAAUUUUGAGGCUUUGAACAAGAACAAUCAGCGUGUCAAGAGGCUUGCCAAGAAGUAUCGCUCAACCGGAAGAGGAGAAGGUGCUGGCAACACAGCAUGAGAAAAAACUGGAUAACUAGAAGAACAUGUGCUCGAGAACAUCAUGCAAAACGGGAACAUCAAGAACCUCGCCCACAAUUACAUGGGAGAUGACUGAUGGGCCCCGAAGGUCAGCGCAUUCUUGUGGUUCCUGGGCAUUCAACUCAUCUACAUGGGAUGAUGUGGGUAUUGGAUGUUAGUAAUUUCAUGAGGAAAAUAAAUGUGCACCACUGAUGAUGAUAUUGCAGGGUGCAUCCUUAAGGCGAGGACGACUAACACAGAAAUCUUCUGUUAAGAAGAUGUGAUGCAAGAGCCAAAGAAGCCGAACUGGCCGAGGAAAGCCUGGAUUCUUCUUGCAAGCUGGCGUCCAAGGAAGUACAUGGGGAGCGGUGAGCGGCGGAUUACUGGCGAGACCCAUGAGGAGCAGCAGCGGGACGGUCACCACUGUCAUCCAAGAAGAGCUCCAAUUAGGCAUUACCCUUGACAAUAGGGAUUAUCGGAAACUCACAUGACUAUGGCUUAAUUUUCCAAGAUAUAUUUGCUCUAGGUACGAAGUCGCUGCACGAAGAAAUGGAAUGGCAACAGUUUUAGCAGGCCGUUGUUGAAGUUUCAACAUAUCAAUCUGUAUGUUUGAAUGAAAAACAAUGAUCGUGAAGUAUUGAUCUCUGAUUACUAAAUUGUCUUCUGAAGCCGCACUUGUGGAGAUCAACUUGAUGUUGUGUCCGUCAACAUGGCCACGAACAGUGGCGUCAACGUCAAGGAAGGAAAGUGCGGUUGCAGGGAGUAGAGCUACCCGGACUAGUAGUACUGUAGAUGUUUCAUUUUCCUCGUACAUGUAAUAAUAUCUUAUCUUAGCUUGACAUCCCGGUUUUGUUAUGCCAGUCGAGUUGAAUUGUAUGCUCGAAUGUGAGUUCUGUAUGCACUCAUAUUUUUUAUUUUCUAUUUGAUCUGAACGUCUCUAAAAGUGGAAA